Molecule: ribosomal RNA, 543 nt
Filed under: uncultured Gemmatimonas sp.
Lineage: Bacteria; Pseudomonadati; Gemmatimonadota; Gemmatimonadia; Gemmatimonadales; Gemmatimonadaceae
Description: bacterial SSU rRNA
Rfam family: Bacterial small subunit ribosomal RNA
Source: RNAcentral
UGGGGAAUCUUGCGCAAUGGCCUAACGGCUGACGCAGCGACGCCGCGUGAGGGAUGACGCUCUUCGGAGUGUAAACCUCUUUUGCCCGGGACGAAUUGCCAACUUUCGUUGGCUUGACGGUACCGGGUGAAUAAGCACCGGCUAACUCCGUGCCAGCGGCCGCGGUAAUACGGGGGGUGCGAGCGUUGUCCGGAAUCACUGGGCGUAAAGGGCGCGUAGGUGGUCUUAUAAGGGUGUGGUGAAAGCCCGGGGCUCAACCCCGGGUCGGCCGUGCCGACUGUAAGACUCGAGUGCUGUAGGGGCAGGCGGAAUUCCGGGUGUAGCGGUGGAAUGCGUAGAGAUCCGGAGGAAGACCGGUGGCGAAGGCGGCCUGCUGGGCAGUUACUGACACUGAGGCGCGACAGCGUGGGGAGCAAACAGGAUUAGAUACCCUGGUAGUCCACGCCGUAAACGAUGGGUACUAGGUGCCUGGGGGAGCGACCCCUUGGGUGCCGGCGCUAACGCAGGAAGUACCCCGCCUGGGGAGUACGGCCGCAAGGCUGA